This is a non-coding RNA of Electrophorus electricus (electric eel), 7643 nucleotides long. The record is from RefSeq and is a predicted model, not a curated record. Lineage: Eukaryota; Metazoa; Chordata; Actinopteri; Gymnotiformes; Gymnotidae.
AUCACUCACUAAACUGUUCCAAACUGGAAGCAAUAUGAGCACAAGAACUAUGCAUCAGAAGCUUCAUGAAAUGGCUUUCCGUGGAUAUUUUGAUGUCAGUUAUUCAUGCUUCUUUAAGCUGUCCAUAGUGUCAAAACCUAUAUAUCACAAUGCGCUCCAAAUACAAUCCAGAAUCAGUUUCUUAGAUUAAAACAUAACGGUCAACCUUGAAAAAAGUAGAAGUCUUGUCAAGUUUCAACACACUUUCUCUUCAGACAGGAUCGAAGCCAAGGAAAAGUGGUCACAGUGCUGCAGGUUGAGCAGGAGAAGAGAAGAGUACGACUGCAUCUGGAGGAGGAGAGGCAGUCAGCUAGUAGAGUGCCUUUGGUUCAGUAUGGAGUCUGACCUACAGCAAAAUCAGUGAUGAAUACUGCACACAAGUUUUUAUCCUGCUUAGGAUAUACUCAAGAAAGCCGAACCCAGAUAUUUCUCCUUGAAACCCAGUGACAGUUACACCGAGAGCAAGAACAGUUAAUCAGUCACGAGGUUCAGAGCUGCAGCUUCCAUUUUAACGUGACCAACUUUAGCUAGCUAUCUAGUUAGGUACAUUAGAAUAUUGGGCUAAAGUGUUGUUUUUGUGCUCCAGUGGCGCAAUCGGUCAGUGCGGGGUACUUAUAUAGCAGUACGACUGAAGCCAUGCCGAGGUUGUGAGUUCGACCCUCACCUGGAGCAGAGCUUUUAAAACUCAGUUACAUGAACGUGGCCGCAAUUGUGUGAAUUAUGGAUCAGAGAACACAUGCUAUAUGGCCAACAGUGUGUGAACACCCUCCAAGUGGUUGAGUUCAAAUGUUUUAGACACCCUUUCCUAAGAGGAGUAAGCACUGAAGAACAUCACAAUACAAUCCCCAUCAAUGCCUACAUACAAAUCUGGGUAAAUAAGGACAUGCUUUCAGGUGUUUGUUGUUGGGCACCAGCGAGUAGUGAGCAUUUAACAUAAAAAACCUCUGCUGCAUCACUCACUAAACUGUUCCAAACUGGAAGCAAUAUGAGCACAAGAACUAUGCAUCAGAAGCUUCAUGAAAUGGCUUUCCGUGGAUAUUUUGAUGUCAGUUAUUCAUGCUUCUUUAAGAUGUCCAUAGUGUAAAAACCUAUAUAUCAUAAUGCGCUCCAAAUACAAUCCAGACUCAGUUUCUUAGAUUAACACAUAACGGUCAACCUUGAAAAAAGUAGAAGUCUUGUCUAUUUUCAAUACACUUUUUCUUCAGACAGGAUGGAAGCCAAGGAAAAGUGGUCACAGUGCUGCAGGUUGAGCAGGAGAAGAGAAGAGUACGCCUGCAUCUGGAGGAGGAGAGGCAGUCAGCUAGUAGAGUGCCUUUGGUUCAGUAUGGAGUCUGACCUACAGCAAAAUCAGUGAUGAAUACUGCAUACAAGUUUUUAUCCUGCUUAGGAUAUACUCAAGAAUGCAGAACCCACAUAUUUCUCCUUGAAACCCAGUGAGAGGUACACCGAGAGCAAGAACAGUUAAUCAGUCACGAGGUUCAGAGCUGCAGCUUCCAUUUUAACGUGACCAACUUUAGCUAGCUAUCUAGUUAGGUACAUUAGAAUAUUGGGCUAAAGUGUUGUUUUUGUGCUCCAGUGGCGCAAUCGGUCAGCGCGCGGUACUUAUAUAGCAGUACGACUGAAGCCAUGCCGAGGUUGUGAGUUCGACCCUCACCUGGAGCACAGCUUUUAAAACUCAGUUACAUGAACGCGGCCGCAAUUGUGUGAAUUAUGGAUCAGAGAACACAUGCUAUAUGGCCAACAGUGUGUGAACACCCUGCAAGUGGUUGAGUUCAAAUGUUUUAGACACCCUUUCCUAAGAGGAGUAAGCACUGAAGAACAUCACAAUACAAUCCCCAUCAAUGCCUACAUACAAAUCUGGGUAAAUAAGGACAUGCUUUCAGGUGUUUGUUGUUGGGCACCAGCGAGUAGUGAGCAUUUAACAUAAAAAACCUCUGCUGCAUCACUCACUAAACUGUUCCAAACUGGAAGCAAUAUGAGCACAAGAACUAUGCAUCAGAAGCUUCAUGAAAUGGCUUUCCGUGGAUAUUUUGAUGUCAGUUAUUCAUGCUUCUUUAAGAUGUCCAUAGUGUAAAAACCUAUAUAUCAUAAUGCGCUCCAAAUACAAUCCAGACUCAGUUUCUUAGAUUAACACAUAACGGUCAACCUUGAAAAAAGUAGAAGUCUUGUCUAUUUUCAAUACACUUUUUCUUCAGACAGGAUGGAAGCCAAGGAAAAGUGGUCACAGUGCUGCAGGUUGAGCAGGAGAAGAGUACGACUGCAUCUGGAGGAGGAGAGGCAGUCAGCUAGUAGAGUGACUUUGGUUCAGUAUGGAGUCUGACCUACAGCAAAAUCAGUGAUGAAUACUGCACACAAGUUUUUAUCCUGCUUAGGAUAUACUCAAGAAUGCAGAACCCACAUAUUUCUCCUUGAAACCCAGUGACAGUUACACCAAGAGCAAGAACAGUUAAUCAGUCACGAGGGUCAGAGCUGCAGCUUCCAUUUUAACGUGACCAACUUUAGCUAGCUAUCUAGUUAGGUACAUUAGAAUAUUGGGCUAAAGUGUUGUUUUUGUGCUCCAGUGGCGCAAUCGGUCAGCGUGCGGUACUUAUAUAGCAGUACGACUGAAGCCAUGCCGAGGUUGUGAGUUCGACCCUCACCUGGAGCACAGCUUUUAAAACUCAGUUACAUGAACGCGGCCGCAAUUGUGUGAAUUAUGGAUCAGAGAACACAUGCUAUAUGGCCAACAGUGUGUGAACACCCUCCAAGUGGUUGAGUUCAAAUGUUUUAGACACCCUUUCCUAAGAGGAGUAAGCACUGAAGAACAUCACAAUACAAUCCCCAUCAAUGCCUACAUACAAAUCUGGGUAAAUAAGGACAUGCUUUCAGGUGUUUGUUGUUGGGCACCAGCGAGUAGUGAGCAUUUAACAUAAAAAACCUCUGCUGCAUCACUCACUAAACUGUUCCAAACUGGAAGCAAUAUGAGCACAAGAACUAUGCAUCAGAAGCUUCAUGAAAUGGCUUUCCGUGGAUAUUUUGAUGUCAGUUAUUCAUGCUUCUUUAAGAUGUCCAUAGUGUAAAAACCUAUAUAUCACAAUGCGCUCCAAAUACAAUCCAGACUCAGUUUCUUAGAUUAACACAUAACGGUCAACCUUGAAAAAAGUAGAAGUCUUGUCAAGUUUCAACACACUUUCUCUUCAGACAGGAUGGAAGCCAAGGAAAAGUGGUCACAGUGCUGCAGGUUGAGCAGGAGAAGAGAAUAGUACGACUGCAUCUGGAGGAGGAGAGGCAGUCAGCUAGUAGAGUGCCUUUGGUUCAGUAUGGAGUCUGACCUACAGCAAAAUCAGUGAUGAAUACUGCACACAAGUUUUUAUCCUGCUUAGGAUAUACUCAAGAAAGCCGAACCCACAUAUUUCUCCUUGAAACCCAGUGAGAGGUACACCGAGAGCAAGAACAGUUAAUCAGUCACGAGGUUCAGAGCUGCAGCUUCCAUUUUAACGUGACCAACUUUAGCUAGCUAUCUAGUUAGGUACAUUAGAAUAUUGGGCUAAAGCGUUGUUUUUGUGCUCCAGUGGCGCAAUCGGUCAGCGCGCGGUACUUAUAUAGCAGUACGACUGAAGCCAUGCCGAGGUUGUGAGUUCGACCCUCACCUGGAGCACAGCUUUUAAAACUCAGUUACAUGAACGCGGCCGCAAUUGUGUGAAUUAUGGAUCAGAGAACACAUGCUAUAUGGCCAACAGUGUGUGAACACCCUGCAAGUGGUUGAGUUCAAAUGUUUUAGACACCCUUUCCUAAGAGGAGUAAGCACUGAAGAACAUCACAAUACAAUCCCCAUCAAUGCCUACAUACAAAUCUGGGUAAAUAAGGACAUGCUUUCAGGUGUUUGUUGUUGGGCACCAGCGAGUAGUGAGCAUUUAACAUAAAAAACCUCUGCUGCAUCACUCACUAAACUGUUCCAAACUGGAAGCAAUAUGAGCACAAGAACUAUGCAUCAGAAGCUUCAUGAAAUGGCUUUCCGUGGAUAUUUUGAUGUCAGUUAUUCAUGCUUCUUUAAGAUGUCCAUAGUGUAAAAACCUAUAUAUCAUAAUGCGCUCCAAAUACAAUCCAGACUCAGUUUCUUAGAUUAACACAUAACGGUCAACCUUGAAAAAAGUAGAAGUCUUGUCUAUUUUCAAUACACUUUUUCUUCAGACAGGAUGGAAGCCAAGGAAAAGUGGUCACAGUGCUGCAGGUUGAGCAGGAGAAGAGUACGACUGCAUCUGGAGGAGGAGAGGCAGUCAGCUAGUAGAGUGAUUUUGGUUCAGUAUGGAGUCUGACCUACAGCAAAAUCAGUGAUGAAUACUGCACACAAGUUUUUAUCCUGCUUAGGAUAUACUCAAGAAUGCAGAACCCACAUAUUUCUCCUUGAAACCCAGUGACAGUUACACCAAGAGCAAGAACAGUUAAUCAGUCACGAGGGUCAGAGCUGCAGCUUCCAUUUUAACGUGACCAACUUUAGCUAGCUAUCUAGUUAGGUACAUUAGAAUAUUGGGCUAAAGUGUUGUUUUUGUGCUCCAGUGGCGCAAUCGGUCAGCGUGCGGUACUUAUAUAGCAGUACGACUGAAGCCAUGCCGAGGUUGUGAGUUCGACUCUCACCUGGAGCACAGCUUUUAAAACUCAGUUACAUGAACGCGGCCGCAAUUGUGUGAAUUAUGGAUCAGAGAACACAUGCUAUAUGGCCAACAGUGUGUGAACACCCUCCAAGUGGUUGAGUUCAAAUGUUUUAGACACCCUUUCCUAAGAGGAGUAAGCACUGAAGAACAUCACAAUACAAUCCCCAUCAAUGCCUACAUACAAAUCUGGGUAAAUAAGGACAUGCUUUCAGGUGUUUGUUGUUGGGCACCAGCGAGUAGUGAGCAUUUAACAUAAAAAACCUCUGCUGCAUCACUCACUAAACUGUUCCAAACUGGAAGCAAUAUGAGCACAAGAACUAUGCAUCAGAAGCUUCAUGAAAUGGCUUUCCGUGGAUAUUUUGAUGUCAGUUAUUCAUGCUUCUUUAAGAUGUCCAUAGUGUAAAAACCUAUAUAUCACAAUGCGCUCCAAAUACAAUCCAGACUCAGUUUCUUAGAUUAACACAUAACGGUCAACCUUGAAAAAAGUAGAAGUCUUGUCAAGUUUCAACACACUUUCUCUUUAGACAGGAUGGAAGCCAAGGAAAAGUGGUCACAGUGCUGCAGGUUGAGCAGGAGAAGAGAAUAGUACGACUGCAUCUGGAGGAGGAGAGGCAGUCAGCUAGUAGAGUGCCUUUGGUUCAGUAUGGAGUCUGACCUACAGCAAAAUCAGUGAUGAAUACUGCACACAAGUUUUUAUCCUGCUUAGGAUAUACUCAAGAAAGCCGAACCCACAUAUUUCUCCUUGAAACCCAGUGACAGUUACACCAAGAGCAAGAACAGUUAAUCAGUCACGAGGGUCAGAGCUGCAGCUUCCAUUUUAACGUGACCAACUUUAGCUAGCUAUCUAGUUAGGUACAUUAGAAUAUUGGGCUAAAGUGUUGUUUUUGUGCUCCAGUGGCGCAAUCGGUCAGCGUGCGGUACUUAUAUAGCAGUACGACUGAAGCCAUGCCGAGGUUGUGAGUUCGACCCUCACCUGGAGCACAGCUUUUAAAACUCAGUUACAUGAACGCGGCCGCAAUUGUGUGAAUUAUGGAUCAGAGAACACAUGCUAUAUGGCCAACAGUGUGUGAACACCCUCCAAGUGGUUGAGUUCAAAUGUUUUAGACACCCUUUCCUAAGAGGAGGAAGCACUGAAGAACAUCACAAUACAAUCCCCAUCAAUGCCUACAUACAAAUCUGGGUAAAUAAGGACAUGCUUUCAGGUGUUUGUUGUUGGGCACCAGCGAGUAGUGAGCAUUUAACAUAAAAAACCUCUGCUGCAUCACUCACUAAACUGUUCCAAACUGGAAGCAAUAUGAGCACAAGAACUAUGCAUCAGAAGCUUCAUGAAAUGGCUUUCCGUGGAUAUUUUGAUGUCAGUUAUUCAUGCUUCUUUAAGAUGUCCAUAGUGUAAAAACCUAUAUAUCACAAUGCGCUCCAAAUACAAUCCAGACUCAGUUUCUUAGAUUAACACAUAACGGUCAACCUUGAAAAAAGUAGAAGUCUUGUCAAGUUUCAACACACUUUCUCUUUAGACAGGAUGGAAGCCAAGGAAAAGUGGUCACAGUGCUGCAGGUUGAGCAGGAGAAGAGAAUAGUACGACUGCAUCUGGAGGAGGAGAGGCAGUCAGCUAGUAGAGUGCCUUUGGUUCAGUAUGGAGUCUGACCUACAGCAAAAUCAGUGAUGAAUACUGCACACAAGUUUUUAUCCUGCUUAGGAUAUACUCAAGAAAGCCGAACCCACAUAUUUCUCCUUGAAACCCAGUGACAGUUACACCAAGAGCAAGAACAGUUAAUCAGUCACGAGGGUCAGAGCUGCAGCUUCCAUUUUAACGUGACCAACUUUAGCUAGCUAUCUAGUUAGGUACAUUAGAAUAUUGGGCUAAAGUGUUGUUUUUGUGCUCCAGUGGCGCAAUCGGUCAGCGUGCGGUACUUAUAUAGCAGUACGACUGAAGCCAUGCCGAGGUUGUGAGUUCGACCCUCACCUGGAGCACAGCUUUUAAAACUCAGUUACAUGAACGCGGCCGCAAUUGUGUGAAUUAUGGAUCAGAGAACACAUGCUAUAUGGCCAACAGUGUGUGAACACCCUCCAAGUGGUUGAGUUCAAAUGUUUUAGACACCCUUUCCUAAGAGGAGUAAGCACUGAAGAACAUCACAAUACAAUCCCCAUCAAUGCCUACAUACAAAUCUGGGUAAAUAAGGACAUGCUUUCAGGUGUUUGUUGUUGGGCACCAGCGAGUAGUGAGCAUUUAACAUAAAAAACCUCUGCUGCAUCACUCACUAAACUGUUCCAAACUGGAAGCAAUAUGAGCACAAGAACUAUGCAUCAGAAGCUUCAUGAAAUGGCUUUCCGUGGAUAUUUUGAUGUCAGUUAUUCAUGCUUCUUUAAGAUGUCCAUAGUGUAAAAACCUAUAUAUCACAAUGCGCUCCAAAUACAAUCCAGACUCAGUUUCUUAGAUUAACACAUAACGGUCAACCUUGAAAAAAGUAGAAGUCUUGUCAAGUUUCAACACACUUUCUCUUUAGACAGGAUGGAAGCCAAGGAAAAGUGGUCACAGUGCUGCAGGUUGAGCAGGAGAAGAGAAUAGUACGACUGCAUCUGGAGGAGGAGAGGCAGUCAGCUAGUAGAGUGCCUUUGGUUCAGUAUGGAGUCUGACCUACAGCAAAAUCAGUGAUGAAUACUGCACACAAGUUUUUAUCCUGCUUAGGAUAUACUCAAGAAAGCCGAACCCACAUAUUUCUCCUUGAAACCCAGUGACAGUUACACCAAGAGCAAGAACAGUUAAUCAGUCACGAGGGUCAGAGCUGCAGCUUCCAUUUUAACGUGACCAACUUUAGCUAGCUAUCUAGUUAGGUACAUUAGAAUAUUGGGCUAAAGUGUUGUUUUUGUGCUCCAGUGGCGCAAUCGGUCAGCGUGCGGUACUUAUAUAGCAGUACGACUGAAGCCAUGCCGAGGUUGUGAGUUCGACCCUCACCUGGAGCACAGCUUUUAAAA